This 556-nucleotide ribosomal RNA is filed under the name fungal sp. SNB-CN63. RNAcentral describes it as "eukaryotic LSU rRNA". The stretch from base 194 to 347 matches the Rfam family "5.8S ribosomal RNA". The record is from RNAcentral. Lineage: Eukaryota; Fungi.
UUCCGUAGGUGAACCUGCGGAGGGAUCAUUAUCGAGUUUACAACUCCCAAACCCCUGUGAACAUACCUUAACGUUGCUUCGGCGGACAACCCUCGCCCAAACCGCGAGGGCCCGCCAGAGGACCCCAAACCCAACUUUAUGUUUUUUUGUCUUGCAAAACGAACUUCUGAGUGGAUUUUAUAAAUCAAAUCAAAACUUUCAACAACGGAUCUCUUGGCUCUGGCAUCGAUGAAGAACGCAGCGAAAUGCGAUAAGUAAUGUGAAUUGCAGAAUUCAGUGAAUCAUCGAAUCUUUGAACGCACAUUGCGCCCGCCAGUAUUCUGGCGGGCAUGCCUGUUCGAGCGUCAUUAACACCCCUCAAGCCCCCGGGCUUGGUGUUGGGGAUCGGGAACAGCGGAUCGGCCCCCCGGGGCCGCGACGCCCCCGUCCCCCAAAUGCAUCGGCGGUCACGCCGCGGCCUCUUGCGCGUAGUAGCUAACACCUCGCACCGGAGCCCGUCGUGGUCCACGCCGCUAAACCCCCGACCUUUUUACAAGUUGACCUCGAAUCAGGUAGA